GAUGAACGCUGGCGGCGUGCCUAAUACAUGCAAGUCGAGCGAACAGACGAGGAGCUUGCUCCUCUGACGUUAGCGGCGGACGGGUGAGUAACGCGUGGAUAACCUACCUAUAAGACUGGGAUAACUUCGGGAAACCGGAGCUAAUACCGGAUAAUAUAUUGAACCGCAUGGUUCAAUAGUGAAAGACGGUUUUGCUGUCACUUAUAGAUGGAUCCGCGCCGCAUUAGCUAGUUGGUAAGGUAACGGCUUACCAACGCAACGAUGCGUAGCCGACCUGAGAGGGUGAUCGGCCACACUGGAACUGAGACACGGUCCAGACUCCUACGGGAGGCAGCAGUAGGGAAUCUUCCGCAAUGGGCGAAAGCCUGACGGAGCAACGCCGCGUGAGUGAUGAAGGUCUUCGGAUCGUAAAACUCUGUUAUUAGGGAAGAACAAAUGUGUAAGUAACUAUGCACGUCUUGACGGUACCUAAUCAGAAAGCCACGGCUAACUACGUG
Molecule: ribosomal RNA, 497 nt
Filed under: uncultured bacterium
Lineage: Bacteria
Description: partial 16S ribosomal RNA
Rfam family: Bacterial small subunit ribosomal RNA
Source: RNAcentral